RNAcentral lists this small RNA (234 nucleotides) under Vigna angularis var. angularis. Its description in RNAcentral is "Non-protein coding transcript". Lineage: Eukaryota; Viridiplantae; Streptophyta; Magnoliopsida; Fabales; Fabaceae. The record is from RNAcentral.
AAGAGUUUCAGGAGUUUCUUUAUCAAACUAUCGAAACUGUACAAAAUAUUUGUACAAAAUAUACUUUUCAAGCCAAAGCCGCGCUUCCAGAGCUUUGUUUUCUACUUAUCGCGUCUCAACUUCUUCAAGCAUUAGGAGUUCUCCGAUGACGGUUUUGAAGAGCUUAUGAUUUAGCUCGUAGAUCUUGUGAUUGACGUUUUUGAAGAGUUUGGGAGUGAGUCGCACAAGGUGGAA